GGCAGGGUGGUUUGGGGGUUAGCACGUUUGCCUCGCACCUCCAGGGUUGAGGGUUCAACUCCCUCCUCUGCCC
This is a non-coding RNA of Ameiurus melas (black bullhead), 73 nucleotides long. The record is from the annotation of a GenBank genome assembly. Lineage: Eukaryota; Metazoa; Chordata; Actinopteri; Siluriformes; Ictaluridae.